Homo sapiens (human) is the source of this 1875-nucleotide long non-coding RNA. NCBI's taxonomy places the organism in Eukaryota, Metazoa, Chordata, Mammalia, Primates, Hominidae. The record is from Ensembl.
AUAUUUCUCCUCCGUUGCCUUAGGGGGUUGCCUUUGAUAAGGGCUUUGCUCUUUCAUCCAGCACUUAAGGAGCAGAAUGUAGGCCGGCACAGUGGCUCACACCUGUAAUCCCAACCCUUUGGGAGGCCGAGGUGGGCGGAUCGCGUGGUCAAGAGAUAGAGACCAUCCUGGCCAACAUGGUGAAACCCCGUCUCUACUAAAAAUACAAAAAUUAGCUGGGCGUGGUGGCGCACGCCUGUAGUCCCAGCUACUCGGGAGGCUGAGGCAGGGGAAUCGCUUGAAGCUGGGAGACAGAGGUUGCAGUGAGCCGAGACUGCGUCACUGCACUCUGGCCUAGCGACAGAGUGAGACUCUGUCUCAAAAAAAAAAAAAGAAGAAGAAGAAGCAGAAUGUAACUCAGAUGGUCUUCUUAAGGAAGGAUUUCCCCACCCAAGGAGAAACGCAGGGCUUUUCCCAAGCUCUUCCCUUUAACUGUUGGUUAAAGCAGUUGGUGCUGGGUUCCAGAGAAGAGCUGGGCCCUGGUAAAUUUCCCACUACCCAAAAUGAUGAUAGGAUCCUGUUGGGAGUGUCUUACAUCAGGACUGCCUAAGUCCUCCAAAACUCCUUCCCCUCAGCAUUUGCAUAGCCAGAGGGGACUCCAGCAGAAUGAGAAUAGGACUUUUAGGAAAUAAGGUAGUUCUCUAACCAGGACCAUCUCUAGCUCCCUGAGCUCUAGCCGAAGAAGGGGAGUAAGUAAGGAGGUCUCUCUCACAGUCUCACACAAAGCAGAUUGCUCACAAAUUGACUGAAGGUAAAGCACCCAGGAAGCAACUGCCUACAAAAGCUGCUCCGGCUGGGCGAGGUGGCUCACGCGUGUAAUUCCAGCACUUCAGGAGGCCAAGGCGGGCGGAUCACUUGGGGCCUGGAGUUCGACACCAGCCUGCCCAACAUGGCAAAACCUCGACUAUUAAAAAAAUACAAAAACUGGGGGCCAGGGGCAUGGCUCACGCCUGUAAUCUCAGCACUUUGGGAGGCUGAGGCGGGUGGAUCAUCUGAGGUCAGGAGUUCGAAACCAGCCUGGCCAACAUGGUGAAACCCUGUCUCCACUAAAAAUAUAAAAAUUAGCCGGGCGUGGUGGCACGCCCCUGUAAUCCCAGCUACUCCGGAGGCUGAGGCAGGAGAAUCACUUGAACCCGGGAGGCAGAGGUUGCAGCCAGACGAGAUCUCGCCAUUGCACUCCAGCCUGGGUGACAGCAUGACUCUCAGGAAAAACAAAAAACAAAAAACUACACACACACACCCCUCCCCCCACCAAAAAAAAAAAAAACUGCUCACAAGAGUGCGCCCUCUACUGGAGGGCGAAGAAACCUCGUCAUUACAGGCCUGGUACUGUGGCACUCCGUGAAAUUAGCCAUUAUCAGACAUCUACUGAACUGAUUCGCAAACUUCCCUUCCAGCAUCUGGUGUGAGAAAUUGCUCAGGACUUUAAAACAGAUCUGCCGUUGCAGAGUGCAGCUUAGUGGUGCUUUGCAGGAGGCAAGCAAAGCCUAUCUGGUUGGCUUUUUGAAGACACCAACCUGUGUGCUGUCCAUGCCAAACGUGUAACACCUAUGUCAAAAGACAUCCAGCUAGCACGCCGCAUGCGUGAAGAAUGUGCUUAAGAAUCCAUUAUGAUGGGGGAAACUUCAUUCUUAAAAAAAAAAAGUCUCUGCUUCCUGUCAUUGGUAGUUCUGAAUGUUAGAUAUUUUUUCCCCAUGGGGUCAAAAGGUACCUAAGUAUACGAUUGUGAGCAGAAAAAUAGGAGACAGAAGUCAGGUGUUGUCAGUUUUCAAUUUUCAUUUGUGUGUGAAUUUUUAAUGUAAAUGUAGGUGGGGAAGUAAAGCAUUAAUGCAAGUC